CCUACGGGUGGCAGCAGUGGGGAAUAUUGCACAAUGGGCGAAAGCCUGAUGCAGCAACGCCGCGUGAAGGAAGACGGUUUUCGGAUUUGAAACUUCUAUCAAUAGGGGAGAAAGGAAUGACGGUACUUAAAUAAGAAGCACCAGCUAACUACGGGCCAGCAGCCGCGGGAAUACGUAGGGGGCAAGCGUUAUCCGGAAUUACUGGGUGUAAAGGGAGAGUAGGCGGCAAGGUAAGCGAUAUGUGAAAGCCUUAAGCUUAACCAAAGGAUUGCAUAAAGAACUAUCUAGCUAGAGUACAGGAGAGGAAAGCGGAAUUCCUGGUGUAGCGGUGAAAUGCGUAGAUAUUAGGAAGAACACCGGUGGCGAAGGCGGCUUUCUGGACUGAAACUGACGCUGAGGCUCGAAAGCGUGGGGAGCGAACAGGAUUAGAUACCCCAGUAGUC
This 443-nucleotide ribosomal RNA is filed under the name uncultured bacterium. RNAcentral describes it as "partial 16S ribosomal RNA". It matches the Rfam family "Bacterial small subunit ribosomal RNA", at positions 338 to 795 of the family's 1533-position model. The record is from RNAcentral.